RNAcentral lists this ribosomal RNA (253 nucleotides) under uncultured bacterium. RNAcentral's name for it is "partial 16S ribosomal RNA". It matches the Rfam family "Bacterial small subunit ribosomal RNA", at positions 524 to 776 of the family's 1533-position model. The record is from RNAcentral.
UACGUAGGGGGCAAGCGUUGUCCGGAAUCAUUGGGCGUAAAGAGCGUGUAGGCGGCCCGAUAAGUCCGCCGUGAAAGUCCAGGGCUCAACCCUGGAAUGCCGGUGGAAACUGUCGGGCUGGAGUCCGGAAGAGGCGAGUGGAAUUCCUGGUGUAGCGGUGAAAUGCGCAGAUAUCAGGAAGAACACCCGUGGCGAAAGCGGCUCUCUGGAACGGUACUGACGCUGAGACGCGAAAGCGUGGGGAGCGAACAGG